CAAUAGCAUAUACUAAAUUUGUUGCAGUUAAAAAGCUCGUAGUUGAAUUUCAUCUGAUUUCGUGAAUGGCCGACGCAAGUUGUGUUCACUUACGAGUCAGACUCCUAUAGGAUACUCAUAUUUGCAGUUAAUCCUGUGAGUAUAGCAGCGUGCUUCGGUACGUCGGGUUCCAAUUCAUUUACUUUGAAUAAAUUAGAGUGUUCAAAGCAGGCGUACAGAGCCUUUGAAUAGUUUUGCAUGGGAUAAUAGAACAGGACAUCAGUCUGUGUUUUAUUGGUUUCUAAGACUGAAGUAAUGAUUAAUAGGGAUAGUUGGGGGCACUUGUAUUUUAGAGUCAGAGGUGAAAUUCUUGGAUUUCUGAAAGACAAACUCCUGCGAAAGCAUUUGCCAAGAAUGUUUUCAUUAA
Molecule: ribosomal RNA, 406 nt
Filed under: uncultured eukaryote
Lineage: Eukaryota
Description: partial 18S ribosomal RNA
Rfam family: Eukaryotic small subunit ribosomal RNA
Source: RNAcentral